RNAcentral lists this ribosomal RNA (57 nucleotides) under Caecosagitta macrocephala. Its description in RNAcentral is "partial 18S rRNA". It matches the Rfam family "Eukaryotic small subunit ribosomal RNA", at positions 1773 to 1829 of the family's 1831-position model. The record is from RNAcentral. Lineage: Eukaryota; Metazoa; Chaetognatha; Sagittoidea; Aphragmophora; Sagittidae.
UUAGAGGAAGCAGAAGUCGUAACAAGGUUUCCAUAGGUGAACCUGCGGAAGGAUCAU